RNAcentral lists this ribosomal RNA (465 nucleotides) under uncultured Klebsiella sp. RNAcentral's name for it is "bacterial SSU rRNA". It matches the Rfam family "Bacterial small subunit ribosomal RNA", at positions 338 to 795 of the family's 1533-position model. Lineage: Bacteria; Pseudomonadati; Pseudomonadota; Gammaproteobacteria; Enterobacterales; Enterobacteriaceae. The record is from RNAcentral.
CCUACGGGAGGCUGCAGUGGGGAAUAUUGCACAAUGGGCGCAAGCCUGAUGCAGCCAUGCCGCGUGUGUGAAGAAGGCCUUCGGGUUGUAAAGCACUUUCAGCGGGGAGGAAGGCGUUAAGGUUAAUAACCUUGGCGAUUGACGUUACCCGCAGAAGAAGCACCGGCUAACUCCGUGCCAGCAGCCGCGGUAAUACGGAGGGUGCAAGCGUUAAUCGGAAUUACUGGGCGUAAAGCGCACGCAGGCGGUCUGUCAAGUCGGAUGUGAAAUCCCCGGGCUCAACCUGGGAACUGCAUUCGAAACUGGCAGGCUAGAGUCUUGUAGUGGGGGGUAGAAUUCCAGGUGUAGCGGUGAAAUGCGUAGAGAUCUGGAGGAAUACCGGUGGCGAAGGCGGCCCCCUGGACAAAGACUGACGCUCAGGUGCGAAAGCGUGGGGAGCAAACAGGAUUAGAUACCCCGGUAGUC